RNAcentral lists this long non-coding RNA (865 nucleotides) under Scleropages formosus (Asian bonytongue). RNAcentral describes it as "lncRNA (ENSSFOG00015025623.1)". Lineage: Eukaryota; Metazoa; Chordata; Actinopteri; Osteoglossiformes; Osteoglossidae. The record is from RNAcentral.
CUGUGUUCUGUCCCUCCGUAUGAUGUCUUGACCCUCUGCUGUGCAGGAAACCAAUAAAAAAAUUGUUUGUACCACUAUUUUACUCCCUUUGUUUUAUACUUCCAAAGAAGAGAUAGGCCUGGCUGGUAUUGAUUUUCAGUAAUGACUCAUCACUUUAACGCAUCCCGGCGCAUGACUCACCGAAGCUUCCGAGUCCAACUUUCCUCAAUGUUGUUGUCCGCAAUUUCCAGGGACGGAGAGAAAAAAAAAUGUGUGUGUUUUUUAAAUGACCCUGUCACCACCACAGAGCCGGUUGUAAGUUUACCAUAUUUUUCUCUGGAAUGUUCCUUUCUCCUUUUUAAAUUUCGAAUACGAGAUUUCCUUUAACGUUUAAACAUAGACUAGGUCCCCUUUGUCAUACGUGUCCUAAUAAAGCAGGAUCGGUGCACAUCAGUGAUGUCAUCAUCACCGAACGUCAGUUUAAUUACCUGAUUUGGCUCACAGUAACCAAGCUGUUUAAAAACAUUGACCCACUUGCACAGAUGGAGAAUUCAGAAUGUUGCCUUUCAGGACAGAGAAGUGCACCUUUUCAAGGCACCAGAGGAGAGCGCCGUGGAGAAGGCCAGGAACACAGGAGGCACGGGAAGCGGUUGUUCCUGCACUCUGUCACCUGAACACGGAAGAGAAGCAGAUUUACCAGGAGAACCUGCACCAUGUCCUUCAGUCCUUCCGCAAACCCGCCGCACGUCGUCUUCUUGGUGUAUCUCCUCGGUUAGCAGCCGUUCCACAAAGAGCAACGCGGCCGCAGAGAAGGAAAGGGCCUCUGGUGAAACAAGCUUCACGUGUACCAAGAAUGGUCACAUGGGGGGGGGGGGGGAGACAUUGA